CCUACGGGUGGCAGCAGUGAGGAAUAUUGGUCAAUGGGCGCGAGCCUGAACCAGCCAAGUCGCGUGAGGGAAUACGGCCCUACGGGUCGUAAACCUCUUUUGCCGGGGAGCAACGGCCGCCACGUGUGCCGCCCCUGAGAGUACCCGGAGAAAAAGCAUCGGCUAACUCCGUGCCAGCAGCCGCGGUAAUACGGAGGAUUCAAGCGUUAUCCGGAUUUAUUGGGUUUAAAGGGUGCGUAGGCGGUCGGUUAAGUUAGAGGUGAAAUCCCGAGGCUCAACUUCGGAAUUGCCUCUGAUACUGUUCGGCUAGAGAGUAGUUGCGGUAGGCGGAAUGUAUGGUGUAGCGGUGAAAUGCUUAGAGAUCAUACAGAACACCGAUUGCGAAGGCAGCUUACCGAGCUACUUCUGACGUUGAGGCACGAAAGCGUGGGGAGCAAACAGGAUUAGAUACCCGGGUAGUC
Molecule: ribosomal RNA, 461 nt
Filed under: uncultured bacterium
Lineage: Bacteria
Description: partial 16S ribosomal RNA
Rfam family: Bacterial small subunit ribosomal RNA
Source: RNAcentral